Molecule: ribosomal RNA, 253 nt
Filed under: uncultured bacterium
Lineage: Bacteria
Description: partial 16S ribosomal RNA
Rfam family: Bacterial small subunit ribosomal RNA
Source: RNAcentral
UACGUAGGGACCGAGCGUUGUCCGGAAUCAUUGGGCGUAAAGAGCGUGUAGGCGGCUACUUAAGUCCUGCGUGAAAUCCUGCGGCUCAACCGCAGGCGGUCGUGGGAAACUGGGUGGCUAGAGUGCGGGAGAGGAGAGUGGAAUUCCUGGUGUAGCGGUGGAAUGCGCAGAUAUCAGGAAGAACACCCGUGGCGAAGGCGGCCAGCUGGGCCAGAUCCGACACUGAGGCGCGAAAGCGUGGGGAGCAAACAGG